RNAcentral lists this ribosomal RNA (250 nucleotides) under uncultured bacterium. Its description in RNAcentral is "partial 16S ribosomal RNA". It matches the Rfam family "Bacterial small subunit ribosomal RNA", at positions 89 to 339 of the family's 1533-position model. The record is from RNAcentral.
AUUAGAGUGGCGCACGGGUGAGUAACACGUGGAUAACCUGCCCUAGGGUCUGGGAUAACACUUCGAAAGGGGUGCUAAUACCGGAUAAGCUCACGACUUCUUCGGAGGAUGUGAGAAAAGAUUUAUUGCCUUAGGAUGGGUCCGCGUUCCAUUAGCUAGUUGGUGGGGUAAUGGCCUACCAAGGCUGCGAUGGAUAGCUGGUCUGAGAGGAUGAUCAGCCACACUGGAACUGAGACACGGUCCAGACUCC